This 1355-nucleotide ribosomal RNA is filed under the name metagenome. RNAcentral describes it as "bacterial LSU rRNA". It matches the Rfam family "Bacterial large subunit ribosomal RNA", at positions 1557 to 2925 of the family's 2925-position model. The record is from RNAcentral.
UGAGGCGUGAUGGGGAAGGUCAUUAAGACCGAAGUACAUGAUUCCAUGCUUCCAAGAAAAGCAUCUAGAGAGAGAAGUAGUGCCCGUACCGCAAACCGACACAGGUAGAUGAGGAGAGAAUCCUAAGGCCGGCGGAAGAAUUGCAGUUAAGGAACUAGGCAAAUUGACCCCGUAAGUUCGCGAGAAGGGGUGCCUGUGAGAGCAGGCCGCAGAGAAUAGGCCCAAGCAACUGUUUAGCAAAAACACAGGUCUCUGCUAAAGCGUAAGCUGAUGUAUAGGGGCUGACGCCUGCCCGGUGCUGGAAGGUUAAGGGGAACACUUAGCGCAAGCGAAGGUGUGAACUUAAGCCCCAGUAAACGGCGGCCGUAACAAUAACGGUCCUAAGGUAGCGAAAUUCCUUGUCAGGUAAGUUCUGACCCGCACGAAUGGCGUAAUGACUUGGGCACUGUCUCAACUGCAAAUCCGGCGAAGUUGUAGUGCGAGUGAAGAUGCUCGCUACCCGCGAUUGGACGGAAAGACCCCGUAGAGCUUUACUGUAGCUUAGCAUUGAAUUCCGGUAUUGUCUGUACAGGAUAGGUGGGAGACUGGGAAACUAGGGCGUCAGCCUUAGUGGAGUCAACCUUGGGAUACCACCCUGACAGUACUGGGGUUCUAACAGGACGCCAUGAAGCUGGUGACUGGACAUUGUUAGGUGGGCAGUCUGACUGGGGCGGUCGCCUCCUAGAAAGUAAUGGAGGCGCCCAAAGGUUCCCUCAGAACGGUCGGAAAUCGUUCGUAGAGUGCAAAGGCAGAAGGGAGCCUGACUGCGAGACCCACAAGUCGAGCAGGGACGAAAGUCGGGCUUAGUGAUCCGGUGGUACCUCGUGGGAGGGCCAUCGCUCAACGGAUAAAAGCUACCUCGGGGAUAACAGGCUGAUCUCCCCCAAGAGUCCACAUCGACGGGGAGGUUUGGCACCUCGAUGUCGGCUCGUCGCAUCCUGGGGCUGUAGUAGGUCCCAAGGGUUGGGCUGUUCGCCCAUUAAAGCGGCACGCGAGCUGGGUUCAGAACGUCGUGAGACAGUUCGGUCCCUAUCCGUCGCGGGCGUAGGAAAUUUGAGAGGAGCUGUCCUUAGUACGAGAGGACCGGGAUGGACUGACCUCUGGUGCACCAGUUGUUCUGCCAAGAGCAUGGCUGGGUAGCUAAGUCGGGAAGGGAUAAACGCUGAAAGCAUCUAAGCGUGAAGCCCCCCUCAAGAUGAGGUUUCCCAUAGCAUAAGCUAGUAAGACCCCUUGAAGAACACAAGGUUGAUAGGUCAGAGGUGGAAGUGCGGUAACGUAUGUAGCUGACUGAUACUAAUAGGUCGAGGGCUUGACCU